UGUUGCCAGCGAUUAGGUCGGGAACUCAAAGGAGACUGCCAGUGAUAAACUGGAAGAAGGUGGGGAUGACGUCAAGUCAUCAUGGCCCUUACGACCAGGGCUACACACGUGCUACAAUGGCGCAUACAAAGAGAAGCGACCUCGCGAGAGCAAGCGGACCUCAUAAAGUGCGUCGUAGUCCGGAUUGGAGUCUGCAACUCGACUCCAUGAAGUCGGAAUCGCUAGUAAUCGUGGAUCAGAAUGCCACGGUGAAUACGUUCCCGGGCCUUGUACACACCGCCCGUCACACCAUGGGAGUGGGUUGCAAAAGAAGUAGGUAGCUUAACCUUCGGGAGGGCGCUUACCACUUUGUGAUUCAUGACUGGGGUGAAGUCGUAACAAGGUAACCGUAGGGGAACCUGCGGUUGGAUCACCUCCUUACCUGAAAGAA
RNAcentral lists this ribosomal RNA (430 nucleotides) under Salmonella enterica subsp. salamae. RNAcentral's name for it is "bacterial SSU rRNA". It matches the Rfam family "Bacterial small subunit ribosomal RNA", at positions 1113 to 1533 of the family's 1533-position model. The record is from RNAcentral. Lineage: Bacteria; Pseudomonadati; Pseudomonadota; Gammaproteobacteria; Enterobacterales; Enterobacteriaceae.